Molecule: long non-coding RNA, 1564 nt
Organism: Gallus gallus (chicken)
Lineage: Eukaryota; Metazoa; Chordata; Aves; Galliformes; Phasianidae
Exons: 3
Source: RefSeq, a predicted model, not a curated record
GGAGAGGAAGGGCGGAGCUGGAGAAAACACGAGGCUGACACAACUUGGUCAGAGAUUAAGUUAUGCUAAUGGCACAAUGGCAAACAGGACAGAAGAACGGCAGGUCUCCACAGAAGUCGUCAUGAAGCCAUCAGUGAGGAGGUGAGGAGGAUAUUUCAGGCACCAUCCUCCUGCAUCCAAACGAGGACACAGUUACCCACUGCAGGAGGUGAGGAUGGAUGCAUUGACGAAGAACCGUGUUACUACACUCCUCGCUCGCUUUCAGGAAGGAAAUCUUCCAUGCCAGGAGCAGAAAGGAGGGGUGACACAAAGAUGGAGUGUGACUUCCUGCGUUCCAGAGAGCACGCCGGGUGCUGGGGCUGAGGCUGGCUUCGUGUCACAGGGGUAUGCUCCAUAACUCACAACACAAAUGUUCGUGGAGGAAGUGUCUCAGAGAGUGUUUCUGUCCCCUUGUUCUUCGUUGAGCAGAUAUUUCAUCUGCUCUCAGGAGGGAAGCAGAGCCCAAUGGAGAGCCUAACAGAACGCAGCAUGGAUAAUCCUGAGCUGUGCCCCGAGUCCUUGCUUGUUGGAGCGCAGACUGAGUUUGUGACUGCUCAGUUUAUUUCACUCUGUGCUGCUGUCUCGUUCUGAGGUAGAUCCAAAAUGUCACCGAUCCAAAUGAUGGAACGUCUCAUGGCAAUGGCUUCUUCUGGAGGGCAUUUGGCAGCUCUAUCACAGCCAUGGGAGGGCUGAUGUGCAGCUGCCACGUUGCUCAGAAGUCACACUGGAGGACUUGAAGGUGUGCAUGCAUGUGACUUCAAUUCCUUUGAUUUCAGCUCCGUGGUUGUGAAAUAACUUUCAGUGGGGAUUUCACGUCAGCUAAGUUUAGCUCUUGGCUGUUGAGAGGAAGAGGGACAACGCUGAUGGCUCUGCAAAUGAGCUCUGGGUUGAGUAGGGAAGGAAAAUGGACCUGGCACCUGAACUGACCUCCCCCAGCGCAGUCCUCAGGUCCUCACCUGAGAUGCUGAAAUCUGUAUUGAUAUUGUCAUCUAUAUCUCAACAUAUGUAACUUUUCCAUGCUUGCAGAGAAACAAAUGGAGUUUUUUUUCGUCAUCUGCAUUCCAGCAAUCAUCGGAGAGCCCCUGGCUCCCAGAAGCUCUCCCUGGUAUUUGGAGCAAUUAAAUGCACAGAAUGCCCAUAGCUUUGUAACAGAGGGGAAUCAUUAUGGGGAAUCAUUAUUGCAUUGGUGUGAUUUUGCUAGUGCUGCAACCCAUUCUUUGCAGCCUAAAGCACGGGGCACAGGCAGCCCAAUGGGAAAGGUAGGGAAACAGUGGAAGGAAAGCAUGUGCAGGAGCUUUCUGCAUUUGGGAUGUAUCACACGUAGUGGUGGAGCUGUGCUAAUCAAGAUCUGGAGAAUCUGGUUCCCCAUCUGAAGUGAGCAUCCCUUUUGUAUUAGUCCCUGAAGUUAUUUUAACUCGCGUUGACACAAAUUAAACAGGAAUCUUGCUGUCCAUUGAUUUUGUCAGCGGUGUGUUUUUUUUUCCCCCCUCCUGAAGUCAUCAUUAAAGACUUUGCUUUUAUUAAA